This 1941-nucleotide long non-coding RNA is filed under the name Homo sapiens (human). Its description in RNAcentral is "HSALNT0100433". Lineage: Eukaryota; Metazoa; Chordata; Mammalia; Primates; Hominidae. The record is from RNAcentral.
AAAACAGCAAAGUAAUUUCCCAAAAUAAUGGCCCUGGGUAUCUUGGAAGAGGAGACUCUAUCUCUGUGUUUCCCCCAUCCCUAGUUUCAUGAGCAAUUAACCCUGUAUUUCCAUGCUCAGGCAAGUCAAAUAACCCUUGCAGAGCUGGUUGAAGGUGCUGGGAGGAGAGGUGGUCUUGAACUGCAUGGUAAGAAUGGUCCUGAAGUGCCCAGGGGGGUGAGAGAGUCCAGUCCACCAAAGUAACUAAUCUGGGCCAAAGCAGGCAGAACAGUGCAGCUAGCCUUUCCAGAAGUCAACAGCAGAUAAAGGGAGAGACGUCUAGACCACUGGGUCUCAGGCUCAGCAUGCAUCAGAAUCAUCUGGAAGGUAAGUUAAAACACCAGCUGCUGGGUGCUAGCCCCAGAGUUUGUGAAUCUGUGGGUUUGUGAUGAGGCUGGAGGGUCUAUGUUUCUAGAAAGCUCUCAGGUGAAGCUCAUGUGCUGGCCCACAGACCCCUCUCAUUAGUCUCUAUGCCUCGCAGUGACCCUCUUGGUCCUCAGGGGCUGCUGAAGUGAGAGGGGUGGGAGAAUGAUGAAUGAGCAUGCUAAUGCAAAUCACUGUUCACUACUCAUGUAAUCCUUCAGGCAGUCCUGUAAAAUAGGUCUGAUUUUUUCCAUCUUUCUGAUGAGCAAAGUGGCUUAGAGAGGUUAUUUCUCAAGUUCACACACUUAAGUGUCUGUCAGAGUGGAUUUAAUUGAGCUAGGGGUCCCACGAUCAGGUUUUCUAUAGCUUCCAGGUGAUGGUAAUAUGCAGUGUGGGCUGGGAGCCACUGAUCUGAGACUUCCACACUCUGAACCAGCUGCCAGAACAAGACACUGUUGACCCCAUAAUGUGAGGACACUUCCCCAGGAUUUGCAGUGGAAUGUGAGGGUUUCCAAAGUCAUCUUUUUGAAGAGAUUUUUUUUUUCCACAUUCUGGUAUUAAAAGAGUUGUGAGGAUAGGAAGACUAGCAGGCAAAGACAUUGAGAAAAAGUUGUUUUAAAAACAGAAUUUGAAUGUCAUUCCAGGCUACUGACUUCUUUUGGCCCUCUGGAAGCAUUAGACCUAGUUUCUAGAACAAUCACACUUAGGGGCAUGAGUGGCCAUCCUACCCUACACCCAGGUAUAAACUGACCAGUGGCUAUGACUCCUCUCUUUCCCCACUGUACCAGCCAUGGUUCCUGCAGGGAAUAAAUGGCCCACUCUAAGUAAGACAAUGGAGGAUUGUCCAAUAAAGGUGCUACCUGCAAAGCUGGGGGUGAGUUGGUAAACCACAAGAAAUACUGCAGUGCCCAGAAGGAGAGAAAGCAAUAGAGGUGACUAUUUUGAGAGGAACAAUGGCCUUUGGUUAAGGUUGGCAUGAAGCUACCCCACAAGGAAGAAGCCAGCAGAAUGAAUAUCCCACCACCAUGGUAUGCUGGACAGUGUUUAAUCAUUGGCCCUCUGGAGAAAAAAAUAUUUGUAGCAUUUACCCAUUUUCUGUGUAUUAAAUACCAUCCCCAUGGCUUAUUUCAAGCUACCUAUGUGAGGUCACCAGAUGCAGAAUUGACAAUAGAUGUGCACAGUCAACUCUCGUGAGCCACUAUGAGCAGGCUCUAGCCCAGCACUGCCCCAACUUCAUUCAUCCCCCUUCACUCCAAUCUCCUGCCAGACAUCCCCACUGACCACACCCAGCUGGAAGCCAGCGGCAAAGGGAGUCCACUGACAGAGUCCAUGGACAGCCUCUCAGUCUGCCAGGACGGGAGACCAUUAACAAGAAGAGGAGGAGGAGAAGAGCUUUGAAAAAGUGCCCUGGGAGAAGUCAUUCAGCCUUUUCCUCCAGGCUCCCUGGCUCUCAUGGACCCCCAUGUGCCCACCUCAGCCUUUUCUGGGUUGUGGCAUGAAAUGCCCGUGUGCUGCCUACAUGACCCAAGUGAUACUGCC